UACGGAGGGGGCUAGCGUUGUUCGGAAUUACUGGGCGUAAAGCGCACGUAGGCGGACUGUUAAGUCGGGGGUGAAAUCCUGCGGCUCAACCGCAGACGGUCGUGGGAAACUGGAAGGCUAGAGUGCGGGAGAGGAGAGUGGAAUUCCCGGUGUAGCGGUGAAAUGCGCAGAUAUCGGGAAGAACACCCGUGGCGAAGGCGGCUCUCUGGAACGCAACUGACGCUGAGACGCGAAAGCGUGGGGAGCAAACAGG
RNAcentral lists this ribosomal RNA (253 nucleotides) under uncultured bacterium. Its description in RNAcentral is "partial 16S ribosomal RNA". It matches the Rfam family "Bacterial small subunit ribosomal RNA", at positions 524 to 776 of the family's 1533-position model. The record is from RNAcentral.